RNAcentral lists this ribosomal RNA (1728 nucleotides) under Newmanoperla exigua. RNAcentral's name for it is "eukaryotic LSU rRNA". It matches the Rfam family "Eukaryotic large subunit ribosomal RNA", at positions 24 to 1871 of the family's 3401-position model. The record is from RNAcentral. Lineage: Eukaryota; Metazoa; Arthropoda; Insecta; Plecoptera; Gripopterygidae.
UCCCGCGUAAUUUAAGCAUAUUAAUAAGCGGAGGAAAAGAAACUAACAAGGAUUCCCUCAGUAGCUGCGAGCGAACAGGGAGGAGCCCAGCACCGAAUCCUGCGCGUCACGAGCGCGUCUGGAAAUGUGGUGUUUGGGAGGAUCCGAUCAUCUCGCUCGGGCGCGCCAGUCCAAGUCCAUCUUGAAAGCGGCCACAGCCCAUAGAGGGUGCCAGGCCCGUAGGACGGCGGCCUCGUCCCGAGCGAAAGGGUCUCUAGAGUUAAAGAGUACGUGAAACCGUUCGGGGGUAAACGGGCGAAAUCUGGAAAAUCGAACGGAGACGUUCAAGCCCCACUCGCCGCGCGUUGUACGAUGACCGCCGAUGGGGGCGCGGCGCCCGCGCGUACCGCAAGGUGCGCGCGGUGUCGUUCGCGUCGUCCACGCGCCGCGUCGUCGUGCUCGCCGGCGUCGGGCCGCACUCGUCUCCCGGUAGUACGUCGCGACCCGUUGGGCGUCGGUCAAAGGCCCGCGCGUGGAGCCGGCCGAUGUGCGCGCCGUGGCGUCGCGGGGUUCGCCCCGCGGUCGCCCGCGCGCCUCGGCCGACCGCUGCGGUGUCCCGACCGACUCGCUCGACGGUAUGCACACACCGUUGUCGAUCCGAAUCGCACACAGUCCGCGCGAGCGGACGUGCGGCGUCCUCCGCGGCGCACGGAUCGCGUCGGCGACGCUCUAUCCAGAGCAUCACCCGACCCGUCUUGAAACACGGACCAAGGAGUCUAACAUGUGCGCGAGUCAUUGGGACCGCACUAAACCUAAAGGCGUAACGAAAGUGAAGGCCGGCCGUGGCGCGGCGCGUCCACCGCGGCGCGUUCGUCGCCCGCCGCCGAGGGGAGAUGCGACCCGUCCACGCGACGCGGUCGCCGCAUCCCCGGGGCGUCUCGUUGUCAUUGCGACACAGCAGGCGCACCCAGAGCGUACACGUUGGGACCCGAAAGAUGGUGAACUAUGCUGGUGCUCGGAGGUAGAUCGUGGAGCGUCGGCGCCAGCCCGUCGCGCUUCGGCGCGGCUGCGGCUCGCCGACGCACGUAACCAGUCUCAUCUGGUAAAGCGAAUGAUUAGAGGCCUUGGGGCCGAAACGACCUCAACCUAUUCUCAAACUUUAAAUGGGUGAGAAAUUCGACUUGCUCGAAUCGAUGAAGUCAAAUAUAUUGACUGGAUGAACGAGUGCCAAGUGGGCCAAUUUUGGUAAGCAGAACUGGUGCUGUGGGAUGAACCAAACGUCGAGUUAAGGCGCCUAAAUCGAUGCUCAUGGGAUACCAUGAAAGGCGUUGGUUGCUUAAGACAGCAGGACGGUGGCCGUUGUUGAUGUGCAGUCGAAAAUGUGUGUGUGUCUGAGUCGCGUGCCGACCUCGCGCUUACAUGACCACAUCGGGCGAAAGGGAGUCCGGUUCCUAUUCCGGAACCCGGCCGCGGAACCGACCAUGCGGGCCAAUGUCGCGCAAGCGGCAACUCGUCGGGGUGACCCAAAAGGACCCGGAGACGCCGUCGGAUGAUCGAGGCAGAGUUUUCUGUUCUGUAUGAGCGUUCGAGUUCCCUGGAAUCGCCUAGCGCGGAGAUAGGGUUUGGAACGCGAAGAGCACCGCACUUGCGGCGGUGUCUCGAUCUAUCCCUCGGACCUUGAAAAUCCGGGAGAGGGCCACGUGGAGGUGUCGCGCCGGAUCGUACCCAUAUCCGCAGCAGGUCUCCAAG